AAAACAGUAAGAAGUAAAGAAGGCGUUACAACUACGAAGCAUUCUUGUAUAGAACGUGGUAGAAAGUGCAAACCAUGGUACAAACUGCCAACGGAUGAACAAGGAAUAUAUGAGUCACCUACUUCUACUAAUUUACAGAUCCUUGUGAUCCUAGAGCUCGACAGACCACUAAUACAUCGUGUUGCUCAGGAUCUAGUUCACUGUACUUGGU
RNAcentral lists this small RNA (211 nucleotides) under Oryza sativa Japonica Group (Japanese rice). Its description in RNAcentral is "sRNA Os05g0528950". Lineage: Eukaryota; Viridiplantae; Streptophyta; Magnoliopsida; Poales; Poaceae. The record is from RNAcentral.